UUUGAUCUGUCUGGGAGUUCUCCACCCCCCAUUUCCCCCUCAUUUGUUCCCUUCAGCCCCAUUGUGACCUUUCUCUAUUCUUUCCUCACCCCAGUUCUUUCUCUUCCUUGUUCAUGUUGCAGCCUCACGUCUGCUCUAACUUUUCUGCCUCCGACCUCAGGUAGGUUUGGUCUCGGAAGGGCUAAGACGACCGCCACUAACUGACACCUAGGGGCUUUGUAAACCUUUGCCAAUCCACUUCCCUUCUCAGAGGGUUAAAACUAGAUGGUGUGUCAGGCCUCCUGCCCCUUGAAAUCUAUGACCCCAAAUGGGUAUAAUUAAACCGGUGCUAAAGGUGAGGAAGGGUCCUUUGGAGACCUUUAAGUGCAAUAAAAAGUGACACUUCCUUCUAUCUAUGCCCUUUUUAGAUCAGUCUCUUGUUCUUUCCUCUCUCCUUUCUCUACCUUUACUCAUCUCUUGUCUUUCUCCUCUUCCUCCCCCCCCCCCCACACACACACACAUCACCGUUCUCUUCUCUAGCUCCCCGACUCUCCCCGCCCCCAGUCCCGGCUGUGCUCUGGCCCUAGCCCAGUUCCCUGCCUUGGAGGGCCCUCCCCCUUCCCUGAUCCUGGCCCUGUUGGCCCCUCCCCACCGGGCGGCCUGGGAAAUGCCUAAGGGGCCCCGUGAGCUGGAGAGGUGAGUGUGUGUGUGUGUGCCUUUCCUCGUUCGCUUGCUCUCUCUCUCUCUCUCUCUCUCUCUUGCUCGCUUGUCAGCGUCAUGUGCCCAGCAGGGCAGCCCCAGACUGGUUCCCGGCGGCCGUAUUAAGGUCACACACUCACCGUGCAGCCCCACACAGCCCAGCCCGGCCCGGCGCGGCGCAGCGCUGCCCAGCCCAGCCCCACUCAGCUCAGCCCAGACCAGAGCAGCGCAGAGCAGCACAUUGGUGCGCAGCACGGCACAGCGCGGCUCCGCUCGGCGCAGCUCGGCUCCGCUCAGCCCCUCAGAGGAGCGAGGAGCGAGGAGCUCUGAUCGCUCCCCUCUGCUCAGCCUAGCUCCACUCCGCUCCUCUCCCCUCCCCUGGUUGGCGCCCCGGCGGUGACUCAGAGGCUUGAGAACAUGUGGAAGUUGCUGAGAGGCAGCUUUGGAUUCAGUCUUUAGAGGAACUUCUACCCCUGAGGUGGUGCACUGUGGCCUAGGCUCCAUGGACUGGUGGUAGUGAGUUCCCCAUCACUGGAGGUCUUCAGCUCUCCAGUUCUGCAAUCACAGACCAUGAUCAGACCAACUCUGCCAUUGUUCCUAGAUGGGAUGCAUCAGUCUGUCCUGGCCCUAAUAAUCACUGGAUCAAAGUCUACCUCCCCCCCACCCCCCAACACUUACAGGUGCUACAGUGGAUGAAUCUGGACUUGGAAACAGGAAAACAAGUUUGAAUUGUGCCUCAGACCAUCUCUAGUUGAGUUGAGCCUGGGCAAGUCAUCUGACUUCUCUGAGCCUCAGCGUUUUCAUCUAUAAAAUGGAGAUAGUAAAAGCAUCUACCUCACCAGGAUGUUGUGAGGCUCCAAUUAAAUAACCUAUCUAAAGCUCUUUGUAAACCUUAAAGAGUUAUAAAUGUUGCUGUUAUUAUUAUCUCUAUGUGAUGCCUGCAUUGGAAUGUAGAUUCCUUGAAGGCAGGAACUGUCCUUGCUUUUGUAUUUAUAUCCCUGGCACCUAGCACAGUACUUGGCAUGUGAUAAGCAUUAAGUAUUUUUUCAUUCAUUCGUGCCAUUCAAGAGCUUUCUUUUACAGAGAAGUAAAUUGAGACCCUGAAGAUGGAAAUGGACUUGUUCAAGGUCACAUAGAGUGAGUAGUAGGGAAGUGACUUGAACCUGUCAUGUGCUUGUUCUUUUUAAAACCCUUACCUUCUGCCUUUGAAUUGAUACUAAGUACUGGUUCCAAGGCAGAAGAGCAGUAAU
Long non-coding RNA from Gracilinanus agilis (Agile Gracile Mouse Opossum), 1928 nucleotides. RefSeq lists it as uncharacterized. Lineage: Eukaryota; Metazoa; Chordata; Mammalia; Didelphimorphia; Didelphidae. The transcript is spliced from 3 exons. The record is from RefSeq and is a predicted model, not a curated record.